AUGACAAGAAGAUAUUGGAACAUUAAUUUGAAAGAGAUGAUAGAAGCAGGAGUUCAUUUUGGUCAUGGUAUUAAGAAAUGGAAUCCUAAAAUGGCCCCUUACAUUUCGGCAAAGCGUAAAGGUACUCAUAUUAUAAAUCUCGCUAGAACGGCUCGUUUUUUACCAGAAGCUUGUGAUUUAGUUUUUGAUGCAGCAAGUCAGGGAAAAAGUUUCUUAAUUGUUGGUACCAAAAAAAGAGCAACAGAUUUAGUAGCAUCAGCUGCAAUAAGGGCUCGUUGUCAUUAUGUUAAUAAAAAGUGGUUCAGUGGUAUGUUAACGAAUUGGUCGAUUACGAAAACUAGACUUUCUCAAUUUAGAGACUUAAGAGCAGAAGAAAAAAUGGGAAAAUUCCACCAUCUCCCAAAAAGAGAUGUGGCAAUCUUGAAGAGAAAAUUAUCUACCUUGCAAAGGUAUCUCGGCGGGAUCAAAUAUAUGACGAGAUUG
This 483-nucleotide ribosomal RNA is filed under the name Triticum aestivum (bread wheat). RNAcentral's name for it is "partial small subunit ribosomal RNA". Lineage: Eukaryota; Viridiplantae; Streptophyta; Magnoliopsida; Poales; Poaceae. The record is from RNAcentral.